Molecule: long non-coding RNA, 371 nt
Filed under: Ananas comosus (pineapple)
Lineage: Eukaryota; Viridiplantae; Streptophyta; Magnoliopsida; Poales; Bromeliaceae
Description: long non-coding RNA (ACOM_LNC041725)
Source: RNAcentral
GAUGAUAUGGCAAUACCAUCAUUACACUCUGAGAUAGGUAGCACGCUAUUCGCUUCGUUUAUUUCAUUUAGAAAUAAACUUAGCUAGAAAUGUAAAUCAACUAGAAUUCGAACUUGGGUCUUGGGUACCCACCACCAAACCCUUUGCCACUUGCUCUAGGGACGGUCGGUAUUACACUCUAAAUAUUAAUCUUUAUAUAUCAUCAUUACACUCUAAGUAUUAAUUACUGAACCCACGCACUAUUAUUAAAUCCUAUAUAUAUCACCAUUUUAUUCUAAACCCUAAAUUUUAACCUAUCCGUAUAUAUAUGUCAAUUCAUCUACAAUAAUAGGGUACUCAAAAGUGAGAUAUCCCACAUUUCUCUUUUACAU